Molecule: unclassified non-coding RNA, 2225 nt
Filed under: uncultured fungus
Lineage: Eukaryota; Fungi
Description: sequence contains 18S rRNA gene, ITS1, 5.8S rRNA gene, ITS2, 28S rRNA gene
Rfam family: Eukaryotic large subunit ribosomal RNA (bases 1035-2225)
Source: RNAcentral
GGUUGGAUCAUUAAACACAUACCCAUGAAAAAACAAACCCUUGUGGUCCUUUUUCCUCUACCCCCUUGUCCCUCCCCUUCGCCGGGGAGGUGAUGUGGGGGUCUUGGAGAAGGGCUGCGAGAGCAACAAACUAAAAAUGUGAACCUUGUUGAAGUCCAUAGCGGUGCGCCCGCUGGGGGGUGGUGCUGCAACAAACCAGCCUAUAACGGGUUGGUCUGUUUACCCGGCGCCUCCCCCCUUUUCAGGCACACCGCAAACAUGCUAAACCAGACCCCUCUAAUAUAACCAACCGUCUAAUCAUUUUUGUGAAAGCCCCUUUUUUUUUUCUAGCAAAAAAAAAAAUAGGCGACUAGCAAAACCAAAUGAAAACAAACCAAAGUACAACUCUCAGCAAUGGAUAUCUCGGUUCUCGCAACGAUGAAGAGCGCAGCGAAAUGCGAUACAUAGUGUGAAUUGCAGAAUUCUGUGAAUCAUCGAGGCCUUGAACGCAACUUGCGCCUGUGAGUUAUCUCGCAGGCACACCUGUUUGAGUAUCGGCACCAAUCCUCCCAUCCCCCCCUCAUUCCCCUCAAAAAGGAAGCGAGGCUGCGUGAUUGGGGACACUGGGCUGUUGGCUGGCUCACGCUGGCCAUCGCCUGAAAUGCCGGGCGUUUUUUCCUUUAUGGCAGAGUUGCUGUUGGGUCCAUGCUUUUUUACACCGGCAGUUUCCACUGAAUAUAUUUCAGCGGAGACCGCGUGUAUAUCUCGCACCACCUUAAAAAACUCACAUGCUCGCCCCCCAAGUGCUUUGAGGCCCGACUAGGGGUUUAUCCCCUGUGACGGCUUGUUCAUCACUUGUGGUCGGGCGUGUGAGGGUGUUUGAGAUAACCGGGGAAUGCCAGUGCAAAGGGACGCGACCACACCAAACAGCAGCGCACUCUUCACUAUGAGGAACCGCCUCCAAACCAAGCCUUUUGUGCCUUCUCUCUUUCUCUUAGGGAGAGAGAAUCCACAAAAGUAUGGGCCUUCAAUGGCCCGUAUAAUAUACCAAACAUCGAUCUCAAAUCAGGUGAGACUACCCGCUGAAUUUAAGCAUAUCAAUAAGCGGAGGAGAAGAAACUAACUAGGAUUCCCUUAGUAACGGCGAGUGAAGUGGGAAGAGCCCAAGCUUAAAAUCUGGGGGUGACUAAAACCCGCCCUCCGAAUUGUAGUUUUGUGAACGGCAUUUACGGCACUUCCGUGCGGCACAAGUCCCUUGGAACAGGGCGCCAGAGAGGGUGACAGCCCCGUACAUGGCCGCGCAGGGGUGGUGCCAGUUACUGCUGUUUCGUAGAGUCGGGUUGUUUGGGAGUACAGCCCUAAUCCGGUGGUAAAUUCCAUCGAAGGCUAAAUACUGGCGAGAGACCGAUAGCGAACAAGUACCGUGAGGGAAAGAUGCAAAGAACUUUGAAAAGAGAGUUAAAAGUGCUUGAAAUUGCUGAGAGGGAAGCGAUAGGCACCAGUGGUAUGCUCCCGCCGCUUUCGUCGGAAAUCGCGGCGCCGGCACGGUGCCGUCAUAGUAGUCCUUUGUGGCUGCAUGGCGGUGUCUGCAGGCGUCGCGGGGCCGGCGUACUUCGGCGGGGGCCGGCCAGCAUCGGUUGGGGGCGCGGGAGAUUGGCGAGCGGAAGGUAUCCGGACGACUGGCCUUGAGCCGGCCGUUCGGGGCUUACAGCCGCGCGCAGGCGCCGUGCCCAUCCGACCGAGGCACCCUUCGCGGUGGCAACGGACGCCCUUCGGGGCUGGGGGCCCCGGUGGCCGCUGUUGUCCGUCGGCUAGCACUGCAUGCAGUUCUGGCUGGCGGGCGGUGGCGUCUCUGCUGGAGGCUCACUAUGUCCGUUCGAGAUGCUGGCGACAAAUGGUUCUUAUCGACCCGUCUUGAAACACGGACCAAGGAGUCUAACAUAUGUGCGAGUGCGAGGGUGGCAAACCCAAGACGCGUAAUGAAAGUGAAGGGCGGUUCGGCCGCCUGAGGUGGGAAGCGCUGCUCGCGUGGCAGUGCUGCACCAUCGACCGAUCUGGACAUUUUUGGAUAGAUUUGAGUAAGAGCACAUCUGUUGGGACCCGAAAGAAAGUGAACUAUGCUUGCAUAGGGUGAAGCCAGAAGAAAUUCUGGUGGAGGCUCGUAGCGAUACUAACGUGCAAAUUGUUCGUCAAAUGUGAGUAUAGCGGCGAAAGACUAAUCGAACUUUCUAGUAGCUGGUUCCCUC